GUACACGCUGUGACUAGCAUAUCAAUAAGCGGAGGAAAAGAAACUAACUAGGAUUCCCUCAGUAACGGCGAGUGAAGCGGGAAGAGCUCAAAUUUGAAAUCUUCAAGGUUCUACCUUGACGAAUUGUAGUUUAAAGAAGUGUUUUCUGUUGGAGUUUUGGUAAAAGUUCUUUGGAAUAGGACAUCAUAGAGGGUGAGAAUCCCGUAUUUGACCAUUAUUUCCAGCUUUGUGAUACACUUUCAAAGAGUCGGAUUGUUUGGGAAUGCAGUCCAAAAUGGGUGGUAAAUUUCAUCUAAAGCUAAAUAUUGGCGAGAGACCGAUAGCGAACAAGUACCGUGAGGGAAAGAUGAAAAGAACUUUGAAAAGAGAGUUAAACAGUACGUGAAAUUGUCAAAAGGGAAGCGUUUGACACCAGUGUUGUUUUCUCGAAAAUCAAUUAAAAAAGGCAGGAUUUUGUGUUGUAUUGACUUUAUCAGCUUUCUGCACUCUUUUCUUGUCUUUUUUAAUGCACUUUUCGUUUAACAAGUCAACAUCAAUUUCUUUUGUUGUAAAAGGGUCAUUGGAAGGUGGCUUUCUUUUCGGAGAAAGUGUUUAUAGCCUUUGGCCUCUGCAAUCGGAGAGAUUGAGGUCUGCAGCGUAGAUCCUUCGGGGUUAGAUACAUUUGUGCUAAGUUAUAGCCUUUCAUAGACAACUUGUUGACUAUGAUCAGUCAUGUAGCUUACUCGCUUAUGCUAUUUUACCUACGCUUAGGAUGUUGAAGACUCUACAGAGAUA
RNAcentral lists this ribosomal RNA (774 nucleotides) under uncultured Neocallimastigales. RNAcentral's name for it is "partial large subunit ribosomal RNA". It matches the Rfam family "Eukaryotic large subunit ribosomal RNA", at positions 22 to 631 of the family's 3401-position model. Lineage: Eukaryota; Fungi; Neocallimastigomycota; Neocallimastigomycetes; Neocallimastigales. The record is from RNAcentral.